RNAcentral lists this transfer RNA (76 nucleotides) under Deltaproteobacteria bacterium. Its description in RNAcentral is "tRNA-Phe". It matches the Rfam family "tRNA". Rfam says of the family: Transfer RNA (tRNA) molecules are approximately 80 nucleotides in length. Their secondary structure includes four short double-helical elements and three loops (D, anti-codon, and T loops). Further hydrogen bonds mediate the characteristic L-shaped molecular structure. tRNAs have two regions of fundamental functional importance: the anti-codon, which is responsible for specific mRNA codon recognition, and the 3' end, to which the tRNAs corresponding amino acid is attached (by aminoacyl-tRNA synthetases). tRNAs cope with the degeneracy of the genetic code in two manners: having more than one tRNA (with a specific anti-codon) for a particular amino acid; and 'wobble' base-pairing, i.e. permitting non-standard base-pairing at the 3rd anti-codon position. Lineage: Bacteria; Pseudomonadati; Myxococcota; Myxococcia. The record is from RNAcentral. RNAcentral also lists the same sequence under 4 other names.
GCCGAGGUAGCUCAGUUGGUAGAGCAGGGGACUGAAAAUCCCCGUGUCGGGGGUUCAACUCCCUCCCUCGGCACCA